UACGAAGGGGGCUAGCGCUGCUCGGAAUCACUGGGCGUAAAGCGCACGUAGGCGGACUCUUAAGUCGGUGGUGAAAUCCUGGAGCUCAACUCCAGAACUGCCUUCGAUACUGAGAGUCUCGAGUCCGGGAGAGGUGAGUGGAACUGCGAGUGUAGAGGUGAAAUUCGUAGAUAUUCGCAAGAACACCAGUGGCGAAGGCGGCUCACUGGCCCGGUACUGACGCUGAGGUGCGAAAGCGUGGGGAGCAAACAGG
This 253-nucleotide ribosomal RNA is filed under the name uncultured bacterium. RNAcentral's name for it is "partial 16S ribosomal RNA". It matches the Rfam family "Bacterial small subunit ribosomal RNA", at positions 524 to 776 of the family's 1533-position model. The record is from RNAcentral.